CCUGGUGGUUAUAGAACCGGGGCUACACCCGUUCCCAUUCCGAAUACGGAAGUUAAGUCCGGUAUCGCCGAUGGUACUGCCCUGGAGACGGGGUGGGAGAGUAGGACGCUGCCAGGU
This 117-nucleotide ribosomal RNA is filed under the name Candidatus Kaelpia imicola. Lineage: Bacteria; Pseudomonadati; Candidatus Omnitrophota. The record is from RNAcentral.